This 445-nucleotide ribosomal RNA is filed under the name uncultured bacterium. Its description in RNAcentral is "SSU rRNA". It matches the Rfam family "Bacterial small subunit ribosomal RNA", at positions 26 to 518 of the family's 1533-position model. The record is from RNAcentral.
AGAACGAACGCUGGCGGCAGGCCUAACACAUGCAAGUCGAACGCCCUAGCAAUAGGGAGUGGCAGACGGGUGAGUAACGCGUGGGAACAUGCCUUUCGGUUCGGAACAACUCGGGGAAACUUGAGCUAAUACCGGAUACGCCCUUUUGGGGAAAGAUUUAUCGCCGGAAGAUUGGCCCGCGUCUGAUUAGCUAGUUGGCGGGGUAACGGCCCACCAAGGCGACGAUCAGUAGCUGGUCUGAGAGGAUGAUCAGCCACAUUGGGACUGAGACACGGCCCAAACUCCUACGGGAGGCAGCAGUGGGGAAUAUUGGACAAUGGGCGCAAGCCUGAUCCAGCCAUGCCGCGUGAGUGAUGACGGCCUUAGGGUUGUAAAGCUCUUUUGCCUGGGAAGAUAAUGACGGUACCAGGAGAAUAAGCCCGGCUAACUUCGUGCCAGCAGCCGC